CGGGGUGGGGAGAGAGAGAGAGAGAGGGUGAGCAGAGAGGGAGAGGGAGGGCGCUCGUCGAUGCUGCCGGUUUAGGCCGCUCGAGACCGCCUUAAGCUGCUGCGGACGGGGUGUCGGCUCGCGGAGGGCUGGGGCGGAGGGAGCUGGGGCGCGGCUACGCGGCGGAGCGGAGGCGGGUGGCCACGCACGGCGGUGGAGUGGUCUGGGGUCCUCGGGGCGGCGGAGCGCGACGGCGGACGUGGCGCAGCGCACGGCGGUGGAGGGGUGUUCGAGCGGCGGGGUAGCGCCUUCGGAGUGGCGGGGCGGCGGUACCCUUGGCUCGAGGAGACGCGGGGCGGGCGGUAGCCUCUAGACUCCGGCCGGCCCUCCGCCCCUACCCCAUGGCCACCCGGGGCCCCUAGACGCGCCACCACGACGAGACCGAGCGACGCUGGCGUCGGCCUCUAGGGCUAGGGCUGCUCGAGCUCGCGCGUAACGGUUACGGUUAAAUGUUGUUAAAGUCCAGACGCUUUCAACCUAAAACCUAUCCGAAAGUUCUCGCACUGGCUUCGUCUCUGUGUGUGUACGCCGCGCUGUUGUUAAGAAGAAGGAGUUUCGUAUAUAAAAGAGGUUCGCUAGUUGUUUCACUAACCAGGUAAACCUUCCACAAGGUUAGGGGUGGUUGUUCUCCGUGUUACGAAGGUUCUAGAAGUUGUGGGACUUCCAACGUCGACUCCUCUGUACCAUACCUUAACUCGUCCUCAUGUGAGAGGAGGUCUUCCUACACUUGACGGGGGAACCGACCGGGUAACCACCGAUGAGACCAGGAGUCACAAAAACAAUACGUUCAACCUUCUUUUCUUCUUCUAGGUCUCUUCUAGAAUCAUUAUUCUAUCAAAAAUCCUUUUAUCUAUAAAUCAAAAUCCAGUAAAGAACAUUAAAGUCUAUACCUCACGAACAGAAAUCAAGAACAAAACUGAAACACUUUGAACGAUCGAUACCUGUUUUGACACAUUAUAACUACUUUGAUACAUAUACAUACCUACUUUGAACG
Molecule: ribosomal RNA, 1033 nt
Filed under: Triticum aestivum (bread wheat)
Lineage: Eukaryota; Viridiplantae; Streptophyta; Magnoliopsida; Poales; Poaceae
Description: partial small subunit ribosomal RNA
Source: RNAcentral